Long non-coding RNA from Exaiptasia diaphana, 428 nucleotides. RefSeq lists it as uncharacterized. Lineage: Eukaryota; Metazoa; Cnidaria; Anthozoa; Actiniaria; Aiptasiidae. The record is from RefSeq and is a predicted model, not a curated record. The transcript has 4 exons.
CCAAACCCUAUUAAAGGCACUUCGACGAAUCACAGUCAUUUUAACCCUGUCACAUGUCUUUCAACAUUAGAAACAGGAGCAGUCAUUCUAAGAGACUCCUUGAUGCGAACGAAAUCCUCAUGAGCAGCACUUGAUUUGACUGAUCCAUAUAGGCAAUAAUGAUACCUGACAAGCAGCUACAGAAGGCUGUACUCUUCUCCGUAGGACUUCUCUGCAUCAUGGCAGCAUACAGUGUCGUGGCUGUGCGACCCAACGCAUCAACAGCUGAACACGCUCUUCGUCAAGAGCUAAAGAAAUAUAUGCCUUUGGUUCGUCCAGUGCUUUCUCCAAGAGAUAAAAUAAACAUAUCUUUUUCUGCAAAACUUAUAAGCCUCAUUGGACUGAACAUCAAGAAGCAGAUGGUCACGACCAAACUUUUAAUUGUACAG